Molecule: ribosomal RNA, 464 nt
Filed under: uncultured bacterium
Lineage: Bacteria
Description: partial 16S ribosomal RNA
Rfam family: Bacterial small subunit ribosomal RNA
Source: RNAcentral
GCCAGACUCCUACGGGAGGCAGCAGUGAGGAAUAUUGGUCAAUGGGCGGGAGCCUGAACCAGCCAAGCCGCGUGAAGGAAGAAGGCGCCAAGCGUCGUAAACUUCUUUUGUCGGGGAACAAAGGGCGCCACGUGUGGCGUUGUGAGUGUACCUGAAGAAAAAGCAUCGGCUAACUCCGUGCCAGCAGCCGCGGUAAUACGGAGGAUGCGAGCGUUAUCCGGAUUUAUUGGGUUUAAAGGGUGCGUAGGCGGUCGGAAAAGUCAGGGGUAAAACCCGGGGGCCCAACCCGGGCGAGCCGUUGAAACUGUCGGACUAGAGACGGCGAGAAGUACGCGGAAUGCGCGGUGUAGCGGUGAAAUGCAUAGAUAUCGCGCAGAACCCCGAUUGCGAAGGCGGCAUGCCGGCUUCCGACUGACGCUGAAGCACGAAAGCGUGGGGAUCGAACAGGAUUAGAUACCCGCGUA